Molecule: long non-coding RNA, 304 nt
Filed under: Homo sapiens (human)
Lineage: Eukaryota; Metazoa; Chordata; Mammalia; Primates; Hominidae
Description: non-protein coding lnc-FAM47C-2:1
Source: RNAcentral
AUGGCUGGAAACAAACACAGUCGCAGCUCCUGUAAGCCUAGAAGACAGUGCCUUUCCCGUUCCAGAAGAGCGGAGCUGCAGUUUCCUGUUAGCCACAUGGAACGCUGCCUGCGAGAAGGUCAGUAUGCCCGGCACCUGAGCUCAACCACACCUGUUUUCCUGGCUGCUGUUCUCGAGUACCUGACAGCCAACAUCCUGGAACAGGCAGGCAAGGAGGCCCAGAACAGCCACAGGGUGUGCAUCACCCCAGAACACCUGAAGAGAGCACUGCAAAAGAAUGAGCAGCUAAGAUGGAUCUUGGAGG